GAUGAACGCUGGCGGCGUGCCUAAUACAUGCAAGUCGAGCGAACUGAUUAGAAGCUUGCUUCUAUGACGUUAGCGGCGGACGGGUGAGUAACACGUGGGCAACCUGCCUGUAAGACUGGGAUAACUUCGGGAAACCGAAGCUAAUACCGGAUAGGAUCUUCUCCUUCAUGGGAGAUGAUUGAAAGAUGGUUUCGGCUAUCACUUACAGAUGGGCCCGCGGUGCAUUAGCUAGUUGGUGAGGUAACGGCUCACCAAGGCAACGAUGCAUAGCCGACCUGAGAGGGUGAUCGGCCACACUGGGACUGAGACACGGCCCAGACUCCUACGGGAGGAAGCAGUAGGGAAUCUUCCGCAAUGGACGAAAGUCUGACGGAGCAACGCCGCGUGAGUGAUGAAGGCUUUCGGGUCGUAAAACUCUGUUGUUAGGGAAGAACAAGUACGAGAGUAACUGCUCGUACCUUGACGGUACCUAACCAGAAAGCCACGGCUAACUACGUGCCAGCCGCCGCUGUAA
Molecule: ribosomal RNA, 514 nt
Filed under: uncultured bacterium
Lineage: Bacteria
Description: partial 16S ribosomal RNA
Rfam family: Bacterial small subunit ribosomal RNA
Source: RNAcentral